AGCUGCAAACUAAGUUAACUUCUGUAAAAACUUCAUCAGAAUCUAGAGAUCCUUUUUCACCACUGCUGUGUGUUUGAGCUGGAACAGCAAAAAAGAUGGCUGGAAUUCAAACUAUAUUUACACUUUUUGUGGUCUGUCUGAUGAAGGGUUUUCUGUGCAUACAGACUAAGAGAGAGUUUAAUAUCAGAAUACCAGAGACUGUUGAGGUUCUGACUGGAUCAUGUUUGACCAUCCCUUGUUCCUUUGAUAUAAGAGAAGAAUAUGAUGGGAAUUUAAAUAAAGACUGUGAAGGAAAAUGGG
Long non-coding RNA from Oryzias melastigma (Indian medaka), 300 nucleotides. RefSeq lists it as uncharacterized. NCBI's taxonomy places the organism in Eukaryota, Metazoa, Chordata, Actinopteri, Beloniformes, Adrianichthyidae. The transcript is spliced from 3 exons. The record is from RefSeq and is a predicted model, not a curated record.